CAAAUUGAUGAUUUGGAGAUGCAACUUGCAGAAUUUCAAGACAGCAUCUGGGCUCAAGUGUUUGUCAACCUGAGGUCGAAACUUGAGAAUCUGGAAAAAAGGAAUCGCUUAGAGAAUGAAGAAGUGUGCCACUACGAACAGGAAAUUUUGGGUGCUUGGAACCAAUUACAGAACAAUUUUAGCACCCUGAAAAAUCUAGCGAUGGCUUUACUCACAAUUUUAAAUAAUAUUAAAACCAAUAAAAGAAACCGACUGAUAGAUGAAGCUAGUAGUGCUUGCUUGGG
Non-coding RNA from Pelobates cultripes (western spadefoot toad), 284 nucleotides. NCBI's taxonomy places the organism in Eukaryota, Metazoa, Chordata, Amphibia, Anura, Pelobatidae. The record is from the annotation of a GenBank genome assembly.